CUUCCGGAGCUAACGCGUUAAGUCGACCGCCUGGGGAGUACGGCCGCAAGGUUAAAACUCAAAUGAAUUGACGGGGGCCCGCACAAGCGGUGGAGCAUGUGGUUUAAUUCGAUGCAACGCGAAGAACCUUACCUACUCUUGACAUCCAGAGAACUUUCCAGAGAUGGAUUGGUGCCUUCGGGAACUCUGAGACAGGUGCUGCAUGGCUGUCGUCAGCUCGUGUUGUGAAAUGUUGGGUUAAGUCCCGCAACGAGCGCAACCCUUAUCCUUUGUUGCCAGCGGUUAGGCCGGGAACUCAAAGGAGACUGCCAGUGAUAAACUGGAGGAAGGUGGGGAUGACGUCAAGUCAUCAUGGCCCUUACGAGUAGGGCUACACACGUGCUACAAUGGCGCAUACAAAGAGAAGCGACCUCGCGAGAGCAAGCGGACCUCAUAAAGUGCGUCGUAGUCCGGAUUGGAGUCUGCAACUCGACUCCAUGAAGUCGGAAUCGCUAGUAAUCGUAGAUCAGAAUGCUACGGUGAAUACGUUCCCGGGCC
This 537-nucleotide ribosomal RNA is filed under the name Pantoea sp. N2.07. Its description in RNAcentral is "bacterial SSU rRNA". It matches the Rfam family "Bacterial small subunit ribosomal RNA", at positions 843 to 1380 of the family's 1533-position model. Lineage: Bacteria; Pseudomonadati; Pseudomonadota; Gammaproteobacteria; Enterobacterales; Erwiniaceae. The record is from RNAcentral.